Molecule: ribosomal RNA, 371 nt
Filed under: uncultured organism
Description: partial 16S ribosomal RNA
Rfam family: Bacterial small subunit ribosomal RNA
Source: RNAcentral
GUAGGUGGCAAGCGUUGUCCGGAAUUAUUGGGCGUAAAGCGCGCGCAGGCGGUUCUUUAAGUCUGAUGUGAAAGCCCACGGCUCAACCGUGGAGGGUCAUUGGAAACUGGAGAACUUGAGUACAGAAGAGGAAAGCGGAAUUCCACAUGUAGCGGUGAAAUGCGUAGAGAUGUGGAGGAACACCAGUGGCGAAGGCGGCUUUCUGGUCUGUAACUGACGCUGAGGCGCGAAAGCGUGGGGGAGCAAACAGGAUUAGAUACCCUGGUAGUCCACGCCGUAAACGAUGAGUGCUAAGUGUUAGGGGGUUUCCGCCCCUUAGUGCUGCAGCUAACGCAUUAAGCACUCCGCCUGGGAGUACGGCCGCAAGGCUG